This is a long non-coding RNA of Empidonax traillii (willow flycatcher), 176 nucleotides long. RefSeq lists it as uncharacterized. Lineage: Eukaryota; Metazoa; Chordata; Aves; Passeriformes; Tyrannidae. The transcript has 3 exons. The record is from RefSeq and is a predicted model, not a curated record.
CCUGCCAUACGUGGAGAGCCCCCAGGAGCGCCUGAAAGAGAUGGCCCUCAGGUUCAUUGGGAUCGCCGCCAAGUACCUGAGAAAGGGGGAGGAGGAGGAUGAGUCCAUCACAGAGGUCAUCAUUGAGGCCCUUCAAAGCGUGACUGCUGACAGCCCUGCCAUCAAAAAGCGGGCAG